This 23-nucleotide non-coding RNA is filed under the name Cricetulus griseus (Chinese hamster). The record is from RNAcentral. Lineage: Eukaryota; Metazoa; Chordata; Mammalia; Rodentia; Cricetidae.
UAUGGAAAAUUUCAGACUGCUAG